UACGGAGGGUGCAAGCGUUAUCCGGAUUUACUGGGUUUAAAGGGUGCGCAGGCGGAUAUGUAAGUCAGUGGUGAAAUCUCUAGGCUUAACCUGGAAAUUGCCGUUGAUACUAUAUAUCUUGAAUGCUGUGGAGGUAAGCGGAAUAUGUCAUGUAGCGGUAAAAUGCUUAGAUAUGACAUAGAACACCUAUUGCGAAGGCAGCUUACUACGCAGAUAUUGACGCUCAUGCACGAAAGCGUGGGGAUCAAACAGG
This 253-nucleotide ribosomal RNA is filed under the name uncultured bacterium. Its description in RNAcentral is "partial 16S ribosomal RNA". It matches the Rfam family "Bacterial small subunit ribosomal RNA", at positions 524 to 776 of the family's 1533-position model. The record is from RNAcentral.